GCAGCAGUAGGGAAUCUUCCGCAAUGGGCGAAAGCCUGACGGAGCAACGCCGCGUGAGUGAUGAAGGUCUUCGGAUCGUAAAACUCUGUUAUCAGGGAAGAACAAAUGUGUAAGUAACUGUGCACAUCUUGACGGUACCUGAUCAGAAAGCCACGGCUAACUACGUGCCAGCAGCCGCGGUAAUACGUAGGUGGCAAGCGUUAUCCGGAAUUAUUGGGCGUAAAGCGCGCGUAGGCGGUUUUUUAAGUCUGAUGUGAAAGCCCACGGCUCAACCGUGGAGGGUCAUUGGAAACUGGAAAACUUGAGUGCAGAAGAGGAAAGUGGAAUUCCAUGUGUAGCGGUGAAAUGCGCAGAGAUAUGGAGGAACACCAGUGGCGAAGGCGACUUUCUGGUCUGUAACUGACGCUGAUGUGCGAAAGCGUGGGGAUCAAACAGGAUUAGAUACCCUGGUAGUCCACGCCGUAAACGAUGAGUGCUAAGUGUUAGGGGGUUUCCGCCCCUUAGUGCUGCAGCUAACGCAUUAAGCACUCCGC
RNAcentral lists this ribosomal RNA (533 nucleotides) under Staphylococcus warneri. RNAcentral describes it as "bacterial SSU rRNA". It matches the Rfam family "Bacterial small subunit ribosomal RNA", at positions 348 to 872 of the family's 1533-position model. The record is from RNAcentral. Lineage: Bacteria; Bacillati; Bacillota; Bacilli; Caryophanales; Staphylococcaceae.